RNAcentral lists this ribosomal RNA (1378 nucleotides) under uncultured bacterium. Its description in RNAcentral is "partial 16S ribosomal RNA". It matches the Rfam family "Bacterial small subunit ribosomal RNA", at positions 45 to 1400 of the family's 1533-position model. The record is from RNAcentral.
UGCCUAACACAUGCAAGUCGAGCGAGAAAGAGGGCUUCGGCCCUUGAGUACAGCGGCGAACGGGUGCGUAACACGUGGGUCAUCUGUCCUUGAGACCGGAAUAACCCAGCGAAAGUUGGGCUAAUGCCAGAUAAGACCACGAGCAGAAAUGUUUGGGGUCAAAGGGUGCUUCUUCUAGGAGCAUUCACUCAAGGAGGAGCCCGCGGCCUAUCAGCUAGUUGGUAGGGUAACGGCCUACCAAGGCGAAGACGGGUAGCUGGUCUGAGAGGAUGAUCAGCCACACGGGGACUGAGACACGGCCCCGACUCCUACGGGAGGCAGCAGUGGGGAAUAUUGGGCAAUGGGGGAAACCCUGAACAAGCAACGCCGCGUGGAGGACGAAGACCUUCGGGUUGUAAACUCCUGUCGGAGGGGACGAAAGCGGUUGAGGCUAAUAUCCUCGAUCGUUGACGGUACCCUACGAGGAAGCCCCGGCUAACUCCGUGCCAGCAGCCGCGGUAAUACGGGGGGGGCAAGCGUUGUUCGGAAUUACUGGGCGUAAAGGGCGCGUAGGCGGGCGGGCAAGUCUCUCGUGAAAUCCCACGGCUCAACCGUGGAACUGCGGGAGAUACUGCCUGUCUUGAGUCCGGGAGAGGAGGGUGGAAUUCCCAGUGUAGCGGUGAAAUGCGUAGAUAUUGGGAGGAACACCGGUGGCGAAGGCGGCCCUCUGGACCGGUACUGACGCUGAGGAGCGAAAGCGUGGGGAGCGAACAGGAUUAGAUACCCUGGUAGUCCACGCCGUAAACGUUGGGCGCUAGGUGUGGGAUCCCUUCCACGGGUUCCGUGCCGCAGCUAACGCAUUAAGCGCCCCGCCUGGGGAGUACGGCCGCAAGGCUAAAACUCAAAGGAAUUGACGGGGGCCCGCACAAGCGGCGGAGCAUGUGGAUUAAUUCGAUGCAACGCGAAGAACCUUACCUGGGUUUGACAUACACCGGAAAGCCGUGGAGACAUGGCCUCCGCAAGGCCGGUGUACAGGUGGUGCAUGGCUGUCGUCAGCUCGUGUCGUGAGAUGUUGGGUUAAGUCCCGCAACGAGCGCAACCCUCGUCCCAUGUUGCCAGCGGGUUAUGCCGGGGACUCAUGGGAGACUGCCGGGGUCAACUCGGAGGAAGGUGGGGACGACGUCAAGUCAUCAUGCCCCUUAUGUCCAGGGCUUCACACAUGCUACAAUGGCCGGUACAAAGGGCUGCUAAGCCGUAAGGUGGAGCGAAUCCCACAAAGCCGGUCUCAGUUCGGAUCGGGGUCUGCAACUCGACCCCGUGAAGUCGGAGUCGCUAGUAAUCGCAGAUCAGCAACGCUGCGGUGAAUACGUUCCCGGGCCUUGUACACACCGCCCGUCAC